RNAcentral lists this ribosomal RNA (750 nucleotides) under uncultured bacterium. Its description in RNAcentral is "bacterial SSU rRNA". It matches the Rfam family "Bacterial small subunit ribosomal RNA", at positions 62 to 795 of the family's 1533-position model. The record is from RNAcentral.
UCGAGGGGCAGCGGGGCGGCAGGCUUGCCUGCCGCCGCCGGCGACCGGCGCACGGGUGAGUAACACGUAUGCAACCUGCCCGUGGCAGGGGGAUAAGCGGGGGAAACCCCGUCUAAUACCGCGUAACGCGGCCUAGGGACAUCCCAAGGCCGCCAAAGGGAGCAAUCCCGGCCACGGAUGGGCAUGCGGCGCAUUAGCUAGUCGGCGGGGUAACGGCCCACCGAGGCGACGAUGCGUAGGGGUUCUGAGAGGAAGGCCCCCCACACUGGUACUGAGACACGGACCAGACUCCUACGGGAGGCAGCAGUGAGGAAUAUUGGUCAAUGGGCGCGAGCCUGAACCAGCCAAGUCGCGUGAGGGAGGACGGCCCUACGGGUUGUAAACCUCUUUUGCCGGGGAGCAACGGGCGCCACGUGUGGCGCCACUGAGAGUACCCGGAGAAAAAGCAUCGGCUAACUCCGUGCCAGCAGCCGCGGUAAUACGGAGGAUGCGAGCGUUAUCCGGAUUUAUUGGGUUUAAAGGGUGCGUAGGCGGAUCGUUAAGUCAGUGGUCAAAUUGAGGGGCUCAACCCCUUCCCGCCAUUGAAACUGGCGAUCUUGAGUGGAAGAGAAGUAUGCGGAAUGCGUGGUGUAGCGGUGAAAUGCAUAGAUAUCACGCAGAACCCCGAUUGCGAAGGCAGCAUGCCGGCUUCCUACUGACGCUGAAGCACGAAAGCGUGGGGAUCGAACAGGAUUAGAUACCCUGGUAGUC